CCAAGGACAGCAAAUGCUGACGAGGAGAAGAGACGGACGAGCGUUUGCUUGCGGUUAAUACCGAAGGGACGGGAUGAAACAAGGAAGCCAGAAUGCAGCGGCCCCUCGAUAUCACCAGGAACUGCUGCAGGAGGAGGCGUUCUGGCACGGGUAACUAAGCUCUCCGAGCUGAAUCCUAGCCCUGAAGGAAAAAGCACUGGGGGAAGGCUACUCGGACACCUGCCACGUCGAGGGCAGGGGCAGGAGCUGACCCUUCCCCGACGGAUGGACGGACGGACAGACGCUGGUGCGGCGGUGACUCUUUGGAUAUCGUAGGUAAGGGGAGGCACGCUGGUGCCGAGCUCCAGGGCGGUUUGCCUGAACACGAUGCCCGGGGCAGGAGGUUACGCAUUGUGUCCGGGGCUGGGAGCUGGUCCCCGAGUCCCAUGUACUUGGGAGUGCCUGCGCUUGCCAGGGAGCCCGGUGCUGUUCCCAGAGCUGCGGGGAAUUUCCCUUGCGUUGCCUGGACCCUCGGGGCUCUUGGGGGUGUUUCCCCUCAUCGCAAGGGCAGCCAGAGCCCCUCCAGGGCUGCGUGAGGUCCCCGAACCGCUCCCGGAUUUGCUUUUGGCACUCCGCAGUGUCGCUCGUGUGCCUGGGGCAGCCUGCAGGCGCCAUCCUGUCAGCCGCGUUGAGCCCUGCGGCGUGCCUGGUGACCCCUCUGGUGUGCGCCAAGGCCCUUCCUCUGUAUUUUGGUCUGCCCCAGAGCCCUGCACUUGCCCUCUGAUGCCCUCAGGACCCCUCAGUUCACAUUCUGGGUUGCCCCCGAGCCUUCUGCGUGCCUUUCGGUGCGCCCCGUGGCCCCGUGUGUGUUUUGCGGCACGCCGCAGAGGUCUGUUUAGCUUUUUCUCCUGUCCUGGAGUUUUCUGGGUGCUUCUGGGUGUGCCCCAGGGCCCUCCUUUUGGUGCCCCCAGAGUCACUCUGUUUGCUCUAUCGUCGUUCUUUUUUUUUUUUUUUUUUUUUUUUUUUUUUUCCUUGACUUGUGUUGCACCCAGAGCUCUCGAUUUGUUCUCUUGUGCUCCGCAUACUCCCCUUUCCGCACUCUACACCCCAGGCAGGGCUCUCCCUUCAGCUCUCAGCAAGCUGCUGUCAGGAGAGUGGGGGUGCCUCUGCUGCCCUGGCAGCCC
This is a long non-coding RNA of Dromaius novaehollandiae (emu), 1163 nucleotides long. RefSeq lists it as uncharacterized. The record is from RefSeq and is a predicted model, not a curated record. NCBI's taxonomy places the organism in Eukaryota, Metazoa, Chordata, Aves, Casuariiformes, Dromaiidae. The transcript is spliced from 2 exons.